Oncorhynchus keta (chum salmon) is the source of this 3296-nucleotide long non-coding RNA. RefSeq lists it as uncharacterized. The transcript is spliced from 3 exons. Lineage: Eukaryota; Metazoa; Chordata; Actinopteri; Salmoniformes; Salmonidae. The record is from RefSeq and is a predicted model, not a curated record.
ACCGUCUCCAUUCCCGCCGAUUGGCCCUCUCGCCUCAGUCUCCUCUCUUUCCUCCUCCUCCCGUCCCCUAGGAUACGGCAUUGCUGGCUGACGUGUGACGGUCUCCUAGUGACCAGUCCCGUGACCACGCCCCUUCCUCUCUUUCUUCUCUUAUCCUUCCUGCUGACCUGCUGGUCCUCUCAUCCCUCCUUUCCUCUCUUGCCAUAAAGAGCGUUAAGGUACCAUUUCCUCUCUUCAUCCUUGUCAUUUAAAGCUGAGAACCGCGAUAGGCGAAACAGGGCCACUGGCCCACCCAGGGCAUUUGUUGUUUUCGUUUUGAGGAAAUGGGCAGCCAGCAUCGCGGUAAACAUAUAUUGGAUCUGCUAUUCUGUGCAUUGUCACAGGUCGGCUCAUAGCCUGUGGCAAAAAAAGAGGGGACACGAACAACAGGUAUAGGCCAAUCAAAAAGGUUCUUUAUUAUAAACCAAACUAUGAGGGGACACGAACAACAGGUAUAGGCCAAUCAAAAAGGUUCUUUAUUAUAAACCAAACUAUGAGGGGACACGAACAACAGGUAUAGGCCAAUCAAAAAGGUUCUUUAUUAUAAACCAAACUAUGAGGGGACACGAACAACAGGUAUAGGCCAAUCAAAAAGGUUCUUUAUUAUAAACCAAACUAUGAGGGGACACGAACAACAGGUAUAGGCCAAUCAAAAAGGUUCUUUAUUAUAAACCAAACUAUGAGGGGACACGAACAACAGGUAUAGGCCAAUCAAAAAGGUUCUUUAUUGUAAACCAAACUAUGAGGGGACACGAACAACAGGUAUAGGCCAAUCAAAAAGGUUCUUUAUUAUAAACCAAACUAUGAGGGGACACGAACAACAGGUAUAGGCCAAUCAAAAAGGUUCUUUAUUAUAAACCAAACUAUGAGGGGACACGAACAACAGGUAUAGGCCAAUCAAAAAGGUUCUUUAUUGUAAACCAAACUAUGAGGGGACACGAACAACAGGUAUAGGCCAAUCAAAAAGGUUCUUUAUUAUAAACCAAACUAUGAGGGGACACGAACAACAGGUAUAGGCCAAUCAAAAAGGUUCUUUAUUAUAAACCAAACUAUGAGGGGACACGAACAACAGGUAUAGGCCAAUCAAAAAGGUUCUUUAUUAUAAACCAAACUAUGAGGGGACACGAACAACAGGUAUAGGCCAAUCAAAAAGGUUCUUUAUUGUAAACCAAACUAUGAGGGGACACGAACAACAGGUAUAGGCCAAUCAAAAAGGUUCUUUAUUGUAAACCAAACUAUGAGGGGACACGAACAACAGGUAUAGGCCAAUCAAAAAGGUUCUUUAUUGUAAACCAAAACUAUUAACUUUAAACAAAGAAAAGGGAAUGAGGUGUGAAAGUAUCAUAAUGUUAAGGUGUAUGUGAAAGAACAAACAAACAGGAUCAUACCUGGAGGAGCAGAGAGAGAGAGAGAGAUUGGUGAAGCAGUUUAAAUACCCUGAGCCCAGGUGACCAAUCACUAACAACCCUCCUCUGCCUUUUAUUUUUUAUUUUACCUUUAUUUAACCAGGCAAGUCAGUUAAAGAACAAAUUCUUAUUUUCAAUGACGGCCUGGGAACAGUGGGUUAACUGCCUGUUCAGGGGCAGAACGACAGAUUUGUACCUUGUCAGCUCGGGGAUUUGAACUUGCAACCUUUCGGUUACUUGUCCAACACUCUAACCACUAGGCUACCCUGUCGCCCCAGGAGGAACCGCCCCCUGCACUGCAGAGGGGCCGUGACAGCAUGUCCGAGGGAAAGUUCUGGUAUAUCAUGAGGCUUUAAGAAGCACUUUGUGGAGGCCAUUUCAGAAACACUUCCUCCUCCUCUCGUCUUUCGUUUAUACAGUGAUAAUAACACAUUGCACGGAUAACAAACAGGUCUGUUCCUAUUGUGUAUGUUUAGCAUUCAAUGUGAAACUAAUGGAAGAUGCUUAACCUGCAUAACAGUACAGCUCUGCCUCCGAUGCUAGAGGUUCACUGACCAAACUAACAACAAGUUGAACAUGGCUCUGGCCAAUCCCUCCUCUGAUCCUGAGCAUAUCCCCUCCCCUGAUGACAUCACCCAAAAACCAGAAGAUGAUGAGGUGUGUGUAAGGGGUCUGAGUGCAUUCAGUUGGUGUGUGUGUUUGAGCGAGGGUAGUUUGGAGGUGGACCAAUCGAUUGGUCAAAAUGUUUAAACGUGUAUUUUUCAAUAUACAGUACCAGUGAGAAAUGUUUGACACACCUACCUUUUCUACAUUGUAGAAUAAUAGUGAAGACAUCAACACUAUGAAAUAACACAUGGAAUCAUGUAGUAACCAAAAAAGUGUUCUUCAAAGUAGCCUCCCUUACCCUUGAUGACAGCUUUGCACGCUCUUGGCAUUUUCUCAACCAGCUUCAUGAGGUAGUCACCUGGAAUGCAUUUCAAUUAACAGGUGUGCCUUGUUAAAAGUUCAUUUGUGGAAUUUAUUUCCUUAAUGUGAUUGAGCCAAUCAGUUGGUUUGUGACAAGGUAGGGUUGGUAUACAGGUAUACAGAAGACAGCCCAAGUCCAUAUUAUGGCAAGAACAGCUCAAAUAAGCAAAGAGAAACGACAGUCCAUCAUUACUUUAAGACAUGAAGAUCAGUCAAUCCGUAAAAUUUCAAGAACUUUCUUCAAGUGAACGUUUCUUCAAGUGCAGUCGCAAAAACCAUCAGCAGUUAUGAUGAAACUGGCUCUCAUGAGGACCGCCACAGGAAAGGAAGACCCAGAGUUCCCUCUGCUGCAGAGGAUAAGCUCAUUAAAAUAACUGCACCUCAGAAAUUGCAGCCCAAAUAAAUGCUUCAGAGUUCAAGUUACAGACACAUAUCAACAUCAAUUGUUCAGAGACUGUGUGAAUCAGGCCUUCAUGGUCAAAUUGCUGCAAAGAAACCACUACUUAAGGACACCAAUAAGAAGAAGGGACUUGCUUGGGCCAAGAAACACGAGCAAUUGACAUUAGACCGGUGGAAAUCUGUCCUUCGGUCUGAUGAUUCCAAAUUUGAGGUUUUGUGUUCCAACCACCAUGUCUUUGAGACGCAGAGUAGGUAAACGGAUGAUCUUCACAGGUGUGGUUCCCACCGUGAAGCAUGGAGGAGGAGGUGUGAUGGUGUUUUGCUGGUGACACGGUCAGUGAUUUAUUUAGAAUUCAAGGCACGAUACGCCAUCCCAUCUGUUUUGUGCUUAGUGGGACUAUCAUUUGUUUUCCAACAGGACAAUGACCAAGAAGGAGAGCGAUGAAGUGUUGCAUCCACACCAAUAUGCUGGUUAAAUUCGCUAUU